This 825-nucleotide ribosomal RNA is filed under the name Salinicoccus sp. AD21. Its description in RNAcentral is "bacterial SSU rRNA". It matches the Rfam family "Bacterial small subunit ribosomal RNA", at positions 66 to 873 of the family's 1533-position model. The record is from RNAcentral. Lineage: Bacteria; Bacillati; Bacillota; Bacilli; Caryophanales; Staphylococcaceae.
GCGCGGAUCAGGAGCUUGCUCCUGUGACGCGAGUGGCGGACGGGUGAGUAACACGUAGGCAACCUGCCCAUCAGACCGGGAUAACCACGGGAAACCGUGGCUAAUACCGGAUAAUCCUUUUCCACACAGGUGGGGAAGUUGAAAGGCGGCUUCGGCUGUCACUGGUGGAUGGGCCUGCGGCGCAUUAGCUUGUUGGUGGGGUAACGGCCCACCAAGGCGACGAUGCGUAGCCGACCUGAGAGGGUGAUCGGCCACACUGGGACUGAGACACGGCCCAGACUCCUACGGGAGGCAGCAGUAGGGAAUCUUCCGCAAUGGACGAAAGUCUGACGGAGCAACGCCGCGUGAGUGAAGAAGGGUUUCGGCUCGUAAAACUCUGUUGUCAGGGAAGAACGCCGACGGGAGUAACUGCCCGUCGGGUGACGGUACCUGACCAGAAAGCCACGGCUAACUACGUGCCAGCAGCCGCGGUAAUACGUAGGUGGCAAGCGUUAUCCGGAAUUAUUGGGCGUAAAGCGCGCGUAGGCGGUUCGUUAAGUCUGAUGUGAAAGCCCCCGGCUCAACCGGGGAGGGUCAUUGGAAACUGGCGGACUUGAGUGCAGAAGAGGAGAGUGGAAUUCCAUGUGUAGCGGUGAAAUGCGCAGAGAUAUGGAGGAACACCAGUGGCGAAGGCGGCUCUCUGGUCUGCAACUGACGCUGAGGUGCGAAAGCGUGGGGAUCAAACAGGAUUAGAUACCCUGGUAGUCCACGCCGUAAACGAUGAGUGCUAAGUGUUAGGGGGUUUCCGCCCCUUAGUGCUGCAGCUAACGCAUUAAGCACUCCGCC